Molecule: ribosomal RNA, 388 nt
Filed under: uncultured microorganism
Description: bacterial SSU rRNA
Rfam family: Archaeal small subunit ribosomal RNA
Source: RNAcentral
GCGCAGCAGGCGAGAAACUUCACACUGUGCGAAAGCACGAUGAGGGAAUCCCAAGUGCUUGCACGUAAGUGUAAGCUGUUUCUCUGUCUAAAACGCAGAGAGAGUAAGGGCUGGGUAAGACGGGUGCCAGCCGCCGCGGUAAUACCUGCAGCUCAAGUGGUGACCGUUAUUAUUGGGCCUAAAACGUCCGUAGCCGGUUUAAUAAAUGCCUGGGUAAAUUGUGUAGCUUAACUAUACGAAUUCCGGGUAGACUGUUAAACUUGAGACCGGGAGAAGUUAGAGGUACUCCUGGGGUAGAGGUGAAAUUCUGUAAUCCUAGGGGGACCACCAGUGGCGAAGGCGUCUAACUAGAACGGGUCUGACGGUGAGGGACGAAGCCCUGGGGCGC